Molecule: ribosomal RNA, 506 nt
Filed under: uncultured bacterium
Lineage: Bacteria
Description: partial 16S ribosomal RNA
Rfam family: Bacterial small subunit ribosomal RNA
Source: RNAcentral
GAUGAACGCUAGCUACAGGCUUAACACAUGCAAGUCGAGGGGUAACGAGAGGAAAGCUUGCUUUCCUUGUUGACGACCGGCGCACGGGUGAGUAACGCGUAUCCAACCUGCCCCCAACUAGGGAAUAACCUUGCGAAAGUAAGACUAAUACCCUAUAAUUUCCUCAGAUGUCAUCUGACGAGGAAUAAAGAUUUAUUGGUUGUGGAUGGGGAUGCGUCUGAUUAGCUUGUUGGCGGGGUAACGGCCCACCAAGGCAACGAUCAGUAGGGGUUCUGAGAGGAAGGUCCCCCACAUUGGAACUGAGACACGGUCCAAACUCCUACGGGAGGCAGCAGUGAGGAAUAUUGGUCAAUGGGCGGAAGCCUGAACCAGCCAAGUAGCGUGCAGGAUGACGGCCCUAUGGGUUGUAAACUGCUUUUAUACAGGAAUAAAGUUGGCCACGUGUGGUUAUUUGUAGGUACUGUAUGAAUAAGGACCGGCUAAUUCCGUGCCAGCCGCCGCCGUAA